UCCCGGUGCCGGGCCGGCCGCGGGAGGGACGGCGGGUCCCGGGCCAGGCGGCGGGCGGGUCCGGACCUUGCUGAUCGCCCGCCGUCCUCCCUCGCGAGUUGAGACCCGGAGGAAGUGGCCUCCCGCCUCUGGCCACGCGUUGUUUUUGCUUUAAAAAGCGGGUGGGCUGCCCCUCAUUCCCUGGUCGGGUGUGGCCGAAAGGCGGCUUCCGAAGCGCGGUGGUGUGAAUGCCGCUGCUUAGCCGGGGGCCCGGUGGGGACAGGCAUUCCUAGACCUGGUCCCCGGGCUCCAUACGCGGCCAGCCUGUGACCUUAGUUUUCCACACUCGAGUUAGGCGGGGACCGGGGAGGGGGACGGUAAAUGGGUUUUGGGGGUUCCUGGCCACGCGUAGGCCUGGUGGCAGGGUCUCUGGACGCCGAAUGCAAGCAGAACAGCCCACGAGAAGUGGCUCCUUGUGGGUUCGCGGGAGUUUUACAAAGGGCUGCUUUUCUUUUUCUCUAGGGAGUUUGCUAGAGACCGAGCACCUGGGAGGGCGUCCUGGGGUCCCAGCUCUUGGGUGGCCUCGGAUGGUGAGGAUGGUGAGGCGGUCCGGCCUUUGACAGCAGGAGGUAGGAGUGGGUCGCUGACAAGCAGGGAUGAGCAGAAGAGGGUAUUUGUUCCUUAAUCCAGGAAGGAAGGGGACUGCCAGCCUGUGAACGUGGGCCAGAAUAACACCGUCACCGUCCAGACCGAGGUGGAGAGGAGACGCUGGCCCCAGCAGGUGGAGAGCCCAGCCAGGCGAGAUCCAGGCCGUCCGCUCAGGGCGAGACACUCCCUGAUACAAAGCCGAGAAGUAGCAAGGUAUUUUGCAUUGCUUUCUGAAACGCUUGUGCAGAGUGUUGGCCUGUUGGAAAGCAGUCCUGUGGCGUGGGUCUGCGGGGCGAGGCGGGGAGUGUUGAACUGUUCAUUGGGCGCCCUCUGACUCCAAAAAACCCAAGAAAAGUAGACGCGAUUGAGAGCACAGACAAGGGGUCAAGAUACGUCGGGGGGCCAGGGCCUCCACUUUUGAUGCAGCGAUUGUUGGCAGAGCAGCCUCGCCUCUGCUUUCAGAGGAGCCCCCGCUCGGAGGCCGCCCCGCGCGGGUGUCUCGGGUCCUCAUUCUUCCUCCCCAGCCGCUGCGUCCCGCGGGGAGCAGAGGUUUCGAACUGCCCAGAGUCGGUGAUUCUAAACUGCUGCUUGUGCCGCGUGUGGACUAUUUCCCCUGCACACAAGGGAGGAAAAUGCGGACAGGAGAGGUGAUUUCAACGUAAGGUGGAACAGGUGUUGAGAACUAACGCUGAAGACACGGGAGGACGGCUGGAGUUGGGAACAGGUUUAGGCAAACGGUGGUGAAGUAAGCUGAAGGAUUGAGUGCUUUUAUUUUUCAAUAAAACUGUUUCUUUGUUGGCAAAACUCGAGACUAAACCGGUCUUGAAUAAGCCGUCUUGA
This is a long non-coding RNA of Felis catus (domestic cat), 1467 nucleotides long. RefSeq lists it as uncharacterized. The transcript is spliced from 4 exons. The record is from RefSeq and is a predicted model, not a curated record. NCBI's taxonomy places the organism in Eukaryota, Metazoa, Chordata, Mammalia, Carnivora, Felidae.